CCAGCCUUUGCCUUCUGUUGUCAAGCCAAUUCCGGAUCCACAAAGCCAGGUCUCCUUGGACCCCCUGCCUCGUUACUUUCUGAUUGACCAAUCUCCAAGCAACAGACACAAAAUGCUGGACUCAGCAGUCCAGGCAGCAUCUAUGGAAGUUGACCCUUCGGCAGGACUGAAGAAAAAAAGGAAAACCUUCUUCGUUGCUGCUGCUGCUGUGAGGUCCGGGACUCUGAUGGGAAGAACAGGCCCCCAGUCCUCGGGGUCGCAUUGCUGAUGGCCGUUGGCGGAGCUGUCUUAAUACGUUCGGCAGAGGAUGGUGCUCGGAGAAGCUGUGCCGGAGGGGAUGGUCGUCGGCACGGAGGUUCGAUGGACUUGGAGUCCGCUGUGGUCAGGUCGCUUUCGGUGUGUUCUGUGUCUGUGAGGCUGGGUUCGACGGAGCUUUCACUGUGUGCUGCGUCUGCGAGGCUGAGUCGGGUGGCGCUAUGGAAGUCCAUAGCAGGGGUAUUCCCUUCUGCCGCCUGCGUGGGAUGGCAAGUCUGUCGGGACCCUGGGGACUU
This is a long non-coding RNA of Hypanus sabinus (Atlantic stingray), 551 nucleotides long. RefSeq lists it as uncharacterized. NCBI's taxonomy places the organism in Eukaryota, Metazoa, Chordata, Chondrichthyes, Myliobatiformes, Dasyatidae. The record is from RefSeq and is a predicted model, not a curated record. The transcript is spliced from 3 exons.